Molecule: non-coding RNA, 95 nt
Filed under: Limosilactobacillus antri
Lineage: Bacteria; Bacillati; Bacillota; Bacilli; Lactobacillales; Lactobacillaceae
Description: yjdF RNA
Rfam family: azaaromatic riboswitch aptamer (yjdF RNA) (bases 3-86)
Source: RNAcentral
GCGAAGGUAAAAACACAGUUUGGUUGGUAGUCCAAACCUCGGUUAAUGCUGAGCAGUAUCCUUCCCCUCCGGGAUGUCCCGCCUUCAGAAAAAUA